Molecule: ribosomal RNA, 117 nt
Filed under: Candidatus Cloacimonadota bacterium
Lineage: Bacteria; Pseudomonadati; Candidatus Cloacimonadota
Source: RNAcentral
GAAGGUGGUUAUUGCGGAGAGGUUACACCUGUUCCCAUCCCGAACACAGAAGUUAAGCUCUCCUGCGCCAAUGGUACUGCACUGGCAACGGUGUGGAAGAGUAGGUCACCGCCUUCA